AACAGCUCUUUCUUUCAAAACAUAGUGGAACUGGGGAAAGGACACUAGAGUGCAUCCUUUAUUUCUAGACACCUACUCAAGGCUAUGUUAUGAUGUUAUCA
Sapajus apella (tufted capuchin) is the source of this 101-nucleotide long non-coding RNA. RefSeq lists it as uncharacterized. The transcript has 3 exons. Lineage: Eukaryota; Metazoa; Chordata; Mammalia; Primates; Cebidae. The record is from RefSeq and is a predicted model, not a curated record.